UACGGGGGGAGCAAGCGUUGUUCGGAUUUACUGGGCGUAAAGGGCGCGUAGGCGGCAAUUCAAGUCAUCUGUGAAAUCUCCGGGCUUAACUCGGAACGGUCAGAUGAUACUGCUUUGCUAGAGUGCGGAAGGGGCAAUCGGAAUUCUCGGUGUAGCGGUGAAAUGCGUAGAUAUCGAGAGGAACACCAGAGGUGAAGACGGGUUGCUGGGCCGACACUGACGCUGAGGCGCGAAAGCCAGGGGAGCGAACGGG
RNAcentral lists this ribosomal RNA (253 nucleotides) under uncultured bacterium. RNAcentral's name for it is "partial 16S ribosomal RNA". It matches the Rfam family "Bacterial small subunit ribosomal RNA", at positions 524 to 776 of the family's 1533-position model. The record is from RNAcentral.